RNAcentral lists this ribosomal RNA (345 nucleotides) under uncultured bacterium. RNAcentral's name for it is "partial 16S ribosomal RNA". It matches the Rfam family "Bacterial small subunit ribosomal RNA", at positions 338 to 697 of the family's 1533-position model. The record is from RNAcentral.
CCUACGGGUGGCAGCAGUGGGGAAUAUUGGGCAAUGGGCGCAAGCCUGACCCAGCAACGCCGCGUGAAGGAAGAAGGCUUUCGGGUUGUAAACUUCUUUUCGCAGGGACGAAGCAAGUUACGGUACCUGAGGUAUAAGCCACGGCUAACUACGUGCCAGCAGCCGCGGUAAGACGGAGGUGGCAGGCGUUAUCCGGAUGUACUGGGUGUAAAGGUCGUGUAGGCGGGGACGCAAGUCAGAUGUGAAAACCACGGGCUCAACAUGUGGCCUGCGUUUGAAACUGUGGUUCUUGUGUGCUGGAGCGGCAAGCGGAAUGCGGAGUGUAGCGGUGAAAUGCGUAGAUAU